This 765-nucleotide long non-coding RNA is filed under the name Rattus norvegicus (Norway rat). Its description in RNAcentral is "long non-coding RNA NONRATT026038". Lineage: Eukaryota; Metazoa; Chordata; Mammalia; Rodentia; Muridae. The record is from RNAcentral.
CCGGCGUGACCCAUAGUAGUAGCUGUAAUAACUAAGAUUCCCAACCGCCCGCAAAAAGCUCUCGGUCCUGGAUACUACAGAUCUCGGGUCCGGACUGCUCUCAGCGAUAUUCACGUAGGGAAGGACUGCAAGCCAUCACUCCCCUCAACUGGAGAUAAAGCAAAGCCUGUCCCAAACCUUGGUCCCUCCUGUUCAUCCCUGCACACCAUGCUUAACACCCUCCUUGUCCCGGGUGCCUUGAACCCAGGUCAUCAUCAAUGUCCUUGGGAUCCACCAUGUUUCGGAGAACCAUCACUGUAGACUGUGGGAAAGAGAAUUGAAUGCUGUGAUUGUGGGAAAGAUAACUGAACGCUGUGACCUAUCGACCACUACGUCCGUACUACCGUACAAGCAGCAAUGGCACCAGUGCACUACCUACCUCCUGUUUUCUGAGUAGCUUUUGCAUGACCAUGUGUCGAGCACUGCUGCCAGAGAUGCUCAUGUGCUCCUGCUCACUCAACAUCUCUGGCCGCUCUGACUCUGGAAACAGCUCCUCCUCUUCCUUCUCCUUCUUGGGUUCCAACAGACCCAGCGUUGGCGGGCUGGCUAGGAUGGGGUUCACCACUCCCACAGAGGGGAUGGUGACCGGAAUAGGAGGGCGGGCUGGUGUCACACCUGCAGCAAAACCAACCAAGUUUAACAGCCACGCAUACAUCCUCUCUCAAGAAGGAAUAGAGAUGGUUGGCUAUAACCAGCCUGCCCUGGGUUCAAGUGAUUACACUGAAG